RNAcentral lists this long non-coding RNA (11046 nucleotides) under Homo sapiens (human). RNAcentral's name for it is "non-protein coding lnc-RTL1-8:5". The stretch from base 4444 to 4591 matches the Rfam family "Metazoan signal recognition particle RNA". The record is from RNAcentral. Lineage: Eukaryota; Metazoa; Chordata; Mammalia; Primates; Hominidae.
ACUUCUCAGCAUCGCCGUCUCUGAGGGCAGGAGUGAUCUGGAGCCCUCCCCAAGCCCACAGGUAGUCGGGCGGCAUGUGCGGGCCUGGGGGGCCCCACUGGGGUCUUCUCUCCUCUUCCCCGGCCCCUCCCCGAGGCCAGGACAAGUCCUGCCUGCCCUGAACGGGGGCGGCUGAGCCCAGGUUGGGGUGGUGGUGAGACAGGGAGACUGGGGAGCUGGGCACCCUGAUGGGGGUUCUGGGCCUGCCACUCAUCAGCCUGGAGGUCCGGGGCUUUUCCCCAACCCCCUGUGCACGGAAAGGUUUAGGGGCCAUGCCCCAGGUGGCCACAGCGACGGGAAGCUCCCUGGCUGCCUCAAAGGGCUGUUCUGUGGGGGGACCUGGUCCAGGAUGAUGGAGGGGAGGCAGCAACUGGACUUUUCCCCUUGCAGCUGUAAGGAUAGCUUGAUUUUUCUAAGGACAACAACCCUGUGUCUCCCCACUGAGUUACAAGCCCGCAGGUGGCUUGAUGAACAUGUGGUUUCUGGAUGUGACAUGAAAGUUAGCAUUUGCGCGCUCUUUGGUUUCCCUGGGUUUGUUUUUCUUGCUCUUACAGUCCUGAACUAUUCCCAAUCGUGUUUAUGUUGAGGCAGAAGACAUGGCUGUGGAGUGUCGGUGCACCAGGGUCUGCCGGGUCCCCGCCUCCCCAUCCUUCCAAGAGGCACCAGCUGCAAGGCACGUGCAUGUGCCCUCCUGACCCCCCGGUCCCCAAAGAGCCUGCUCCCGUCACUCCAGGCAGGCACUGUUGCUGGGAUUUCAAGGCAGCUGAGUGCAGAGCCCACUGCAGAGGCAUCAGCCCCUCCCAGGCCUCUAGGAAACCUGCUCCUCCCCUCCCUCCACAGGCAUCUGCUUACAGCGCCAGCGGUGCCUCGUGCUCCACCUGGAGCACCACUGUCUGUCAGGGACACGGGCUCCCAGAGGGCUGCACGUGAAUGAUUUCCGACCCUCACAACAGCCAGGAAGUAGGGACUGGGAUUGUUCCCAUUCUGUAGAUGAGAAGACUGAGGCUUGGGAUAACGUGCUUGCCCAAGUUGGCAUGGGCAGUACAAGACAAAGCUGGGGUUGCAAAUGAUCACGCUUCCUAUUCUGAAUAUUUCUUUUUCUGCCACCUUCUCCUCUGAGUGCUGGCUUUCCCUACUUACCAAGCCCCCAGCUGCUCACUGCGGUGCCAGAGCACCCAAGAGCCUCCUCUGGCAGUGCCAUGGCCCACAGCACACUCCCCUUGGCUCUAUCAGGCCUCCCUUUUGGCUUGAGUGCCACCCACUCACUCCUCUCCUGCUUUCUGGCAUCGUUAUUUAAUUGUCCAACCCUGGUCUGCUCAGUUAGACCGUAAACUCUGAGAGGACGAGGAGUCUUCGCCGGCUGCCCCCCGGGCCUGGCCUGGGGCUGCCACGUAGCUGAAUCUCAGCCACACUUGCUGUAGAAUGAUUUGUUAUUAUUCUCUGAGGCUGGGUUUCCACGUGGCUGGGCACAGGAGGACAGAGUCCCCCUCCCCGUCCAGGUCCUUGGCUGGCCAGCAUUUCAAAUGAUAUUGUUUCAUAUUAAAUUAUUUUAAAUUCCAUGGACCCUGGUUUCACAAUCAAAUAAUUCGAUCUUGUUUACAAAUGGAAUUUUUAGUUUUUGACGGUUUCUUGCUUUGCUGGGCUGGACGGUCAGUGAAUGCGUGUCCUCCCGUGCCCUCCAGUCCAUCUCUGUUGCCUUCCCCGGGAUGCCGUGGAGGCCGGGAACCGUCCCCAGGAGUGGGGACGUGGUCAGGAGGGUGGGGUCAGGCAGCCCUGUGCAGGCAGACAGCUCACAGUGCUCGGGGCCUGGAGGCGGGGGCGUUCUCUGCUUGCCCUCUUCCAGCUCUAGACAUGAGAAAACCCACAAAGAACAGAAUUGGAAGGGAUCUUUGACACACGUGAUUCCAACAUCCCCUUUUACAGUUAGGAAACUGAGGCACAAGAUCCUGGUUCUUGGGGUUGGGCCUUGGACCCAGCACUGGGUCUUUGCACAGCCUCCUCAGGACUGAUCCACACUUUGUUCUCUUCCCCACCAACCCCAUCACUUCCCGUUAGGUGCCACUUACUGCUUUCACCUACCGAGACAGAGAGAGGGAAAAGUGUGACCUCUGACCUCUAGGAGCUAGGAACCCAGUGUUGGGAGGGGAGCUGCGGAGGAGGAGACAAAGGAGGCACAAUGAGGUGGACCCUACGGGGUUGGGAGGAGCUUGGAAGGCAGUUCAGAAAGGACACGUAGGAGAAGGCAGGGUGGGACUGUGGGACAGCAGGCCGGGCGCAUCCAGCGGCGUUUGCAAAGCCGGAGAAGUGGCCAAGCUCAGUGGCUGUGGCCAGAUGCCAUUUGUGGCAGUUGAUGAGAAUCUUGUGACUAUUUUAACCGAUGUGUUAAACUUCACUCUCCCCCUGUCAGUCUCCUUGUCACCUUGGAGAAUGUUAUUAGUCAAGGUUCUCCAGAGAAACAGAACCAACAGAAUGUACACACAUGCACACACAUACACAUGCACACACACACACAUACACACGCACACACACACACACACAAACAGGGAUUUAUUGUAAAGAACUGGCUCCUGGAAUAACUGAAUUGAUAAGUCCCAAGAUUUUCAGUCAGCAAGCUGGAGACCCAGAAGAGGCUACUAGGGACUAGACAUGUCCCCCCAAAAUUCAUAUGGUGGACCCCAACCUCCAAUGUGAUGGUCUUAGGAGGUGGGGUGUUUUGAAGGUGAUUAGGUCAGGAGGGUGGAGCGCUAAUGAACGAAAUUAGUGCCCUUAUAAGAAGAGACAGGGCAGCUCUCUCUCUCUGAUCUCUGUCACAUUAGGACGUAGAGAGAGGAAGGCCAGCAGUAAGUGGGCCCUCACCAAAAUCAAAUUGGCAGCACCGUGGUGCUGGACUUCCAGCCUCCUGAAUGGUGGGAAAUGAAUAUUUGAUGCUUAAGCCACACAGUCUACAGCAGCCCGAGCUUAGACAGAGCGGACGUUUCAGUUCAAGUCCAAAGGCAGGAAAAAGCUAGACAUUCAGCUCAAAGGCUGGCAGGCAAGAGGAAUUCUAUCUUACUCAGGGGACGGGACCCCCUUUGUCCUAUUCAGGCUGUCAACUGAUUGGAUGAGGCCCACCCAUAUUAGGGAGGGGAAACUGCUUUACCUGGCCCACUGAUUCCAAUGUGAGUCUCAUCCCCAAGCCCCUCACAGAAACACCCAGAGUGAUGUCUGGUCAAAUAUCUGGGCGCUGUGGCCCCGCCAAGUUGACACUGAAAUUAACCCUCGCAGAGGCCGCCUCUUUAUCACGGGACACAUGCUUGGAGCCCCUCUUCUGGAACUUUCUCUAAGCGAGUGACAGUAUGGGGCAGAUGGGUGUCAUUGCUCUGUGGUCACUUGAUGGGUGACCUGGGUUGGCCCUGUGUACCUACCCACUGGGCUUGGCUCAGAAUGGCAUCCUGCUGUUUCCACAAGUCAGCUGGCUCUCCAGGGUCAGGAUGGAACCUGCUGAGGAGAUCACAGAUGGCCCUGACUCCACACGCUGCCCCAGAGGGCCCCAAGGCAGGCAUCUGAGCCAGCCCCGGCUGCAGAGGUUGACUCAGGAAAGCACCAGGGAAAGUUGGUUGUUAAUAUCCCAGUCCAAUUUUUUUUGACUGGGCCUAAAGGCAGGGACUUCCUUCUAUAAAAUCUGGGAGCUGAGUGCAGGGCAGGCCUGACAAGGCGUGAGGAGCUGCCUGUGGACUUCGGCUCUCCCAGUGAGUCCAGGAGCUGCCCUGGGCCCUGGCGGCCCCUCCUCAUCCCCACCUCUCUGCUGCACCACUAUGGCCUCAAGGUCCCUGCACUGCCUCAUAAAGCUGUCCCCAAGUCAGGCUCCUGUGAGCGCGCCGGGCAUCAGAACUCUGGCUGGUGGACCCACAGAGGCCCGGGGUAAUAGCCAUGAGAAGAACAGGCCACCACGCUCAGACUGGGAAGCACCCAGCCUGCGGGAUGGCCAGAGACACUCAUCCAGGGCCAUGAGAGUGUGAAUCAGUCGAGUACAAUAUGCAUAACCAGUGUGGCCAGAACCGGUGCUUUGAGGUGUCUAACUCCUGGUGUCCUACCAUCCCAACACUGUUGAUUAAUGGCGAAAGAUGGGGCAUUGGGGAGGUCUGUGUCUAUGCUUGGUGGCACCUAAGAAAGAGCAAGGCAUUUAUCUGCAUGGAUUGAGAUAGACAGGUCUCUAAAAUAAACAAGGCAAAGAACGCAAGAGGCUGAACCAAAGUAUGAUCCAUUUGGGGCUUAACAAAUAGAUAGUAUAGGCAGCGCGGUGGCUCACGCCUGUAAUCCCAGCACCUUGGGAGGCUGAGGUGGGCAGAUCACCUGAGGUUGGGAGUUCCAGACCAGCCUGAGCAAUAUGGUGAAACCCUGUCUUUACUAAAAAUACAAAAAUUAGCUGGGCAUGGUGGUGCACGCCUGUAAUCCCAGCUACUCAGGAGGCUGAGGCGGGAGAAUCGCUUGAACCCGGGAGGUGGAGGUUGCAGUGAGCUGAGAUCAUGCCACUGCACUCCAGCCUGGGUGACAGAGGGAGACCCUGUCUCAAAAAAAAAAAAAAAAAAUAGAUGGGGUAGAUGCUUUUGGAAGAAUAUGCAGUCACUGCUCACACCAGCAUGGAACAAGUGGACUGGGGUUACUGCCUGGCGAGUCUCUUUCAGGUCCCUGAAUGCAGUUAACUCAGCGAGUCCUGAGUUCCCCAGGAGGUGGGCAUUCCCAUCUUACCCACGUUGCAGAUGAAGACACUGAGGUAUUGGGAGAACCUGCCCAGGUGAUACAGGUGCAUAGAUGACUUACUUUCAGAAAAUGUCAACAGGGUGCUCUGCAGAGGGGCAUGGGCUUUUAUGCCUUUAUUAUGCUUUUCUGUAUUAAAAGAAAAAUACAGUCAUGUGAUUUUAGAAACUCAACCCAUGGAAGAGAGAAUACUGGGUCUGUAGGAAAUCUGCAAAGUGGGAAAGAUACUUCUGGGCUUGGUGGUGGCACCUUGGAGCCUGCUUACGGAAAUCACCUCUCGUUCCCGUGAUGCUGAAAGCAGAAUGCUGGACAUGGAAGAACCGCGGUACUCGAGCUUCGUCUGCUGCCCCACACCCCACUGGCUGUUGCAAGAGUGACGUUGCCAUUGGUGACUGCAGGUCUCCCAGCAGCCUGGUGCAGAGAGGCCACUUCAGGCUCGAACAGAGGCCCGGGUUUCCACGGGAGACAGCAGAGCCACGGUGUAGCAGGCAUCCAGCUCUCCCCCGAUCAGUUCCGUGACUUGUCGGAAGGCCCUCCCUCCCGAGUUCAAGGUUCAGCUGGACCUGGUGCCUCCAAUGACGUCACCAAGUCUGUCUGUCCAUCUGUCUGAGUUCAGCUUCCUCCAGGUCUUCGUUCUCCAGCAGGCCUUCUCCUCAAAGUGGCCAGGUGACUGUCAGCUCUAUGGUUCAUUCUACCAGUUUAUGAAUCUCCCCUCCUCAUGUUGCUCAAAUUCAGCUGUGAGUAAACUCCCAAGCUGAUUGCAGCGUCCAAAGGGAGGGCACUGGUCCCAUGUGCAGCCGGCAACUCUAUGGGUUCAGCUCCACCCAAACUAUAUAGACCACAGCAGGGAAGGAAAGCCAGGGAUGCUAGGAUGGCCAGCACCACUGCAGAAGCCUAUUGAUCCCGUGCAAAAUAGCUCCAGUAAAAGGAGGGCUUUGGGGCCCGGUGUGUUGGCACACACCUGUAAUCCCAGCACUUUGGGAGGCCAAGGCAUGUGGAUCACUUGAGGUCAAAAGUUCUUGACCAGCCUGAUUAACAUGGUGAAACUCCGUCUCUAUUAAAUACAAAAAAAUUAGCCAGGAGUGGUGGUGCAUGACUGUUAUCUGAGCUACUUGGGAGGCUGAGACAGGGGAAUUGCUUGUACCCGGAGGCGGAGGUUGCAGUGAGCUGAGAUCACACCAUUGUACUCCAGCAUGGGCAACAAGAGCAAAACUCUGUCUCAAAAAAAAAAAAAAAAAGGAGAGCUUUGGUCUACAGAAAGUCAGGCACCAUCACAGCAUCAUAGGGACAGGGAUACAGGAUGCAGGUCCCCGUUACAUCCAGGGCUCCAUCCCUCUUCUCUCCAUCCUCCCCAUAGGCUUUUCCUACAGGCCUUUGGUUUUCCCCGGAUGUUGGCUUGCCCCUAUACCAGCACUGCCAUGGAUGUUGGCUUGCCCCUAUACCAGCACUGCCACGGAUGUUGGCUUGCCCCUAUACCAGCACUGCUCUGGAUGUAGGCUUGUCCCUACAAGAUCACUGGCCCGACUUGUCACUCCAGGGACAAUGUGUCCACCCUUGGCCUAGCUAGUCAGAAACUUUUGUCUUCGUGUCAUCGUGUCCAAUCAAGAUGUCCAAGAUCCUUCUCUCUUUAGAGAGCAUGGGGAGGAGGGGCAUUGUGCUGGGUUGAUGACUGUCCCCCAAAUCCACUUCCACUCAGAAGCUCAAAAUAUGACCUUAUUUGGAGACAGGGUCUUUGCAGAUGUAAUUAGUUAAGAUGAAGUCACGCUGCAUUAGGGUGGGCCCUAGACCCAAGGCCUAGACCCAAGGACUGGCGAUCUUAUAAAAAGAGGAGUGGACACAGAGACAGAUGCAGAGGGAGGGCAGCCACGGAAAGACAAAGGCAGAGAGUGGAUGAUGCAGCCGCAAGCCAUCGGAUGUCCAGGGCCACCAGGAGCUGAGGAGGUGAGGAAGGGCACCCCCAGGAACCUUCAGAGGGAGCACGACACUGUCGACACCUUGACUUUAGACUUCUGGGCUCCAGAUCAGCAAGGGAGUAGAUUUCUGCUCCUUUAAGCAUUUUAUGGGUCUCUGCUGCAGGAGCUCAAGGAAACUCAUUCAGGUAUUUAGGACGGUUGUGCUGGGUGGAGACGGACCACACACCGUCUCUGGGCUGAAGGGGCGGGCACCAGGAGCAGGUCCUCAGUCGACCGCAUCUUGGCACUUAGCUUUGGUGACUCCCCCUGGUGCUGCUGAUGUCCUACCGUGGCCUCUAGGGGACUCAGGGUCCUGCACCCCACCCCUGCUCCCUUCCUGCCCUGGCCUCGUCUCACCUCUGCAGUAGCAAGACUUUCUGCAGCCUGAAUCUAGAUUCUCUGCCGCCUCUUGGUUCUUCUCCUUCAAUGUGGGCUCACCAAGGGCCAUGAGGGUCCCCAGGACUGCAAGGGCACACAGAAAACCCACAGAUUCAUACACUGAGAUAUCGCUCUCCUCGUCGACAGGACCUCAAGCCUCCAGGCCCAGCUCAGUCUAAUUCAAUCUCUGUGUCUUUGCUCAAACUCUUGCAAGGAAAUCUGACCACCUUGGCCUGGCUGGGGGCAUCCAGCGCUAUCCCUGGGGUGUGGCCUGAAACCCUUCCUUCCUCGGUAGGACUCAGUCAACCAGGGUUAAGAAAAGGGCACAUUCCUUGGAGAAGCAUGAGGAGAUAAUGCUUCUGAGGACGCUCAUGUAUGUGAACGCUCAAUGCAGACAUAUGGAAAUUAUGUCGUCUACAUUUACCCCCAUCCCUCUAGGGUGGGUGUCAUCAGAUUCCCGUCCCAGUUUGCAGCUGGAGCCUCGGGGCUUGGAUUAAGUGCUUGCCAGUGCUGGUAGAGAAGCCUGUCACCUCCCACCACUCUCAGCACUUGUCCACUUGCCAAGGUCUCAUGGCAAGUAAGUCCUGGCCACCUUGGUCGCCUCUUAGACGAAGUGGCUUGGACUAGAUGCCCUCCUCCGAGGUGAAUCUUGAGCUGAAGCUUCGGUGUGUGCCUGGAGCAUGUGGCUGGGGUGUUCAGCAAACCCUGGGCAGGGAGGACAGGCCAGCCAGACCUCGGGCCCCCAACUGGGCAUCUGCCUCCAUAGGGCAUUCAUCCACUUUGGGGGUCUUUGUGUCCCUAAAAGAGUCUGAAUAUGAAUCCACACUCAAGCAAAACCAUUAAGGAGAUCAAAGCAGCCGCAAUGACACUGGAGGAGGCUCAUGCUCCUGGGAAACCUCAGAGUAAGACGCAUGGGGGAGGUGCUGGCUUAAGGGUCAUGACUGAGGUGAGAGGCUGAGGGCAAUGGACAGAAAGCAGCAUGCAACCAAGUUCAGGUGGCAGGGAAAACAGAGAGCAAGGAGGAAGCAAAACUGUGAGCAAAACAGGCCUUGAGGGGCCAAACAGUCAGCCACAGAUGCCAGGCUCCUGCCCGACCUGCCCCGACCCUGCCUCUCAGAGGGCACCUGCCAUCCUCUGUGCACCCCACCUGUCCUGUCCCAUCUGUGCAGGGCCCCGUCUAUCGCCCCUGAAGGGUCAGGUGCUCCUCACUGGAAGGUAGGAACUGGGCUUCACCAUCUGGACUGUGCAAGGCCUGCCUGGUCAUGAGAGCAAAGAGUUUUCUAGAAGGCUGGCUUGCACACAUAAGUGAAGAACUGCCCCCCAGAAGUAAUGCUUAGGCAAAGAAGGUGGGCAGUGGUGGUGGUCACAGAUGCUGGGGGUGAGCCAUAGGCCUGAGCCAUCCAUUGUGGGGGUCUGAAAGCCCAAGUCUGUGGCUCCCACACACAGAGAUAGACAGUUCCUAGAGAACACCAGAGUCUAGGCCCCAGGGGCUGGGCGUGCCUCAGAGGGCGCCCCAUGCCAGCUUAAAGGCAGCUGGGAAUGCAGCAAUUGAUCAGUGGGUGCUGGGCAGCUCACACCCCCGUGCGGACAGUCUUCUCCAUGGGCCGAGAAGUGUGUCACAUGCAUGCAGGUGCAUAUGCAUGGGGACAUGGGGGCCCAGGAGUCUUCCUACUGCAGAGUUCAAAGAUGCGGGCUGAAGGCAGUUUGGAGAGCGUCCCCUGCCUGUGCUUCUCUUUUAACUCCAGGACCUGAGCCUCUGCUGGGUGGCGGGUGGACGCUGCUCCCAGUCUCCCAUGCAAGGGGCCCCAGAGGGAGGAAAAUGGCAGGAUGGGACAGAGGGACCACGUGAGAGCAGCUUUGGGAUAAAGCUGCCAGAUACACAAAGCAAUAAACAAAAGGGAAAAAGGAAACGGGACUCAACACAAUUCACAAGUCACAAGGUGGUUGGCUCCAAGGAGCAGGUCCCUGGCUCAGCGGGUCCACUGGGGCUCUCUGGGCAGAGGGGCCUGGUGUUUGAGGUCCCCUCCAGAACCUUCACGCUGAGUGGCAAUGACAUUCCAUAGCCUUGAGGGGCAGGGGCGCAAGGCUCAGCACCCUGGGGCUCUGGGGUGGAGGAGGAGGAUGAUCCGGACUGGGGAGGCAGAAAUGGCCCUCCGUUCUUUUCUGUUUCUUCUCACGCCUCCAGCCCCUUGCUGCAGCCACACUGGCCUCAGUUACACUGGCUCCUUCCUGCUCCUCAUCUGUACAGGGCCAGGUCCUGAAUUAGGGGGGCCUUUGUACAUACAGGCACCAGAACAUUCUUCCAGAGCUUCACUGGAGCCUUCCUCUUCAGCAUGACCGUCCCUGGCCACCUGAUCCAGAGCUGGCGGCUCCCAGGCAUAGCCCAUCCCUGCUGCGGCUCUGCACUGCCCCAGUCCUCACCUGCAUGCAGGGGACUAUUCACAUGCUGACCGUCUGUCCAUCUCCCGUAAGAACGUCGGCUCCUUCCACGUCUGCUGGGCGUGGAGGAUCCCUCACAGCCUCCCCGACCUCAGAGCCAUGAGAGACUUGCAAAGCUUGAAACAAACUCUGAAAGGACUCUUCACAGAUAAAUUCCUCCAGGUGCAUGUUUCAAACAAUUUUAUUAUCUAACCCAAGAGUAAGUUAGCAAUCGAUUUCCUAAUCUUUAUUGAUUGGCAGUGGGCAGGCUAGUGUGAUUAAAGAUGUGAGAGAGACUUGCCAAAUAAAAUGCAUGAGCAGCCUUCAUGAGCUUAGCUCCAAUGUGCAGAGUGAUAGGGUCAGGGAAGUGUGUGUAUGUGUGCAUGAUUGUGUGAGAUCAGGGUAGUGUGUGUGUGUGUGUGUGUGUGUGACAUCAGGGCAGUGGGUGUGUGAGAGAGAUCAGGGCAGUGUGUAUGUGUAUGUGUGAGAUCAGGGCAGUGUGCGUGUGUGUGUGUGUGUGACAUCAGGGCAGUGUGUCUGUGUGCAUGAGUGUGUGAGAUCAGGGCAGUGUGUGUGCAUGAGUGUGAUAUCAGGGCAGUAUGUGUGUGUCUGUGUGUGUGUGUAUGAUAUCAGGGCAGUGUGUGUGUGUCUGUGUGUGAGGUUAGGGCAGUGUGUGUUUGUGUGCAUGAGUGUGUGAGAUCAGGACAGUAUGUGAGAGAGAGAGAUCAGGGCAAAGGGCAGUGUUUGUGUGAGAUUAGGGCAGAGUGUGUGUGUGUGUGUAUGAGAUCAGGGCAGUGUGUGUGUGUGUGCAUGAGUGUGUGAGAUCAGGGUAGUGUGUGUGUGUGACAUCAGGGCAGUGUUUGUGUGUUUGUGUGAGAUCAGGGCAGUGUGUGUGUGUGCACGAGUGUGUGAGAUCACGGAAGUGUGUGUGUCAGGUCACCACAGUGUAUGUGCGGGUAUGCGUGUGUGUGUGCACAGGGAACACACGGACAGCCAUUCCAAGUACACACUCUCCUUGGGUAAAUCUGUGAGUAAUCAUUGCUCCAGCAGUGAGAGCCCGUGAGGGUGGUGCAGGAAGACUGUGGCCUGCCUCCUGAGGGAAGCAUUAAAAAAACAGUCAAAGGAAAACGAACUCAGCUCUCCCAGGGUGGAGGACGUGGAGGUGGGCAGCCAGGGAACAAAUCUGGUUGCUGCGAGCCUGUCAGAAAGGGCCCUAGUGCCCUGCCAGGAGGAAGGACUCUGGGCCAUGAGCAUGAUGGUCUUUGAAGGCCAGGAGAGCUAGCCUACCCCAGCUCUGCCACUAACUGUGCGACUCACGGUCACAUGAUGAUACCUCCUGGGCCCCAUAUACUUUAUCUGCAAAUGGGAAGAAGCACAGCCUCUGUGUCCACAGUGCUGUUGAGGUUGGAUCGGGGCUAACUGGCAAUCAGACAUGUGUCUAUAAAUGCCGGCGAGCCAGGCAGAGCCCAGGCCUGAGAGUCCACCAGGGUGGCAGGCCUUAAUCCGCGCUGCACAGAUCUGU